This 416-nucleotide ribosomal RNA is filed under the name uncultured bacterium. Its description in RNAcentral is "partial 16S ribosomal RNA". It matches the Rfam family "Bacterial small subunit ribosomal RNA", at positions 355 to 762 of the family's 1533-position model. The record is from RNAcentral.
UGGGGAAUAUUGCACAAUGGGCGCAAGCCUGAUGCAGCCAUGCCGCGUGUGUGAAGAAGGCCUUCGGGCUGUAAAGCACUUUCAGCGAGGAGGAAGGUGGUGAACUUAAUACGUUCAUCAAUUGACGUUACUCGCAGAAGAAGCACCGGCUAACUCCGUGCCAGCAGCCGCGGUAAUACGGAGGGUGCAAGCGUUAAUCGGAAUUACUGGGCGUAAAGCGCACGCAGGCGGUUUGUUAAGUCAGNUGUGAAAUCCCCGGGCUCAACCUGGGAACUGCAUUUGAAACUGGCAAGCUAGAGUCUCGUAGAGGGGGGUAGAAUUCCAGGUGUAGCGGUGAAAUGCGUAGAGAUCUGGAGGAAUACCGGUGGCGAAGGCGGCCCCCCUGGACGAAGACUGACGCUCAGGUGCGAAAGCGU